CGCGGUAAUACGUAGGGUGCAAGCGUUAAUCGGAAUUACUGGGCGUAAAGCGUGCGCAGGUGGUUGUGCAAGACAGAUGUGAAAUCCCCGGGCUUAACCUGGGAAUUGCAUUUGUGACUGCACGGCUAGAGUGCGGUAGAGGGGGAUGGAAUUCCGCGUGUAGCAGUGAAAUGCGUAGAUAUGCGGAGGAACACCGAUGGCGAAGGCAGUCCCCUGGGCCUGCACUGACACUCAUGCACGAAAGCGUGGGGAGCAAACAGGAUUAGAUACCCUGGUAGUCCACGCCCUAAACGAUGUCAACUGGUUGAUGGGAGGGUUUCUUCUCAGUAACGUAGCUAACGCGUGAAGUUGACCGCCUGGGGAGUACGGCCGCAAGGUUAAAACUCAAAGGAAUUGACGGGGACCCGCACAAGCGGUGGAUGAUGUGGAUUAAUUCGAUGCAACGCGAAAAACCUUACCUACCCUUGACAUGGCA
Molecule: ribosomal RNA, 475 nt
Filed under: uncultured bacterium
Lineage: Bacteria
Description: bacterial SSU rRNA
Rfam family: Bacterial small subunit ribosomal RNA
Source: RNAcentral